Molecule: non-coding RNA, 340 nt
Filed under: Hamatocaulis vernicosus
Lineage: Eukaryota; Viridiplantae; Streptophyta; Bryopsida; Hypnales; Calliergonaceae
Description: partial tRNA-Leu
Rfam family: Group I catalytic intron (bases 16-265)
About the family: Group I catalytic introns are large self-splicing ribozymes. They catalyse their own excision from mRNA, tRNA and rRNA precursors in a wide range of organisms. The core secondary structure consists of 9 paired regions (P1-P9).
Source: RNAcentral
CGAAAUCGGUAGACGCUACGGACUUAAAUAAUUUGAGCGUUAGUAGAAAAACUUACUAAAUGCUAGCUUUCAGAUUCAGGGAAACUUAGGUUGAUAAAAAUAUAAGCAAUCCUGAGCCAAAUCUUAUUUCGUUCGGGAAUAAAAUAGGUGCAGAGACUCAAUGGAAGCUAUCCUAACGAAUAAUAUUUUUAAAAUUAUUUAAAAUUUAUUUUUUAGAUAUUAAGCGAGGAUAAAGAUAGAGUCCAAUUUUACAUGUUAAUCUUAGCAACAAUUUAAAUUGUAGUAGAAAGAAAAUCCGUUGGCUUUAUUGACCGUGAGGGUUCAAGUCCCUCUACCCCCA